RNAcentral lists this ribosomal RNA (403 nucleotides) under alpha proteobacterium Dell 7. RNAcentral describes it as "bacterial SSU rRNA". It matches the Rfam family "Bacterial small subunit ribosomal RNA", at positions 1084 to 1488 of the family's 1533-position model. Lineage: Bacteria; Pseudomonadati; Pseudomonadota; Alphaproteobacteria. The record is from RNAcentral.
GUCCGCACGAGCGCACCCUCGCCCUUAGUUGCCAGCAUUUAAUUGUGCACUCUAUGGGGAUGCCGGUGUAUAAGCCGCGAGGAAAGUGGGGGAUGACAUCUAGUCCUCUUGGCCCUUACAGGCUGGGCUACACACGUGCUACAAUGUGCGGUGGACAGUGGGCAGCGACCUCGCGAGAGGAAGCUAAUCUCCAAAAGCCGUCUCAGUUCGGAUUGUUCUCUGCAACUCGAGAGCAUGAAGUUGGAAUCCGUAGUAAUCGCGUAACAUCAUGACGCGGUGAAUACGUUCCCGGGCAUUGUACACACCGCCCGUCACACCAUGGGAGUUGGUUUUACCCGAAGGCGCUGUGCUUACCGCAAGGAGGCAGGCGACCACCGUAGGGUCAUCGACUGGUGUGAAGUCG